RNAcentral lists this ribosomal RNA (565 nucleotides) under uncultured bacterium. RNAcentral's name for it is "bacterial SSU rRNA". It matches the Rfam family "Bacterial small subunit ribosomal RNA", at positions 28 to 584 of the family's 1533-position model. The record is from RNAcentral.
AUUGAACGCUAGCGGGAUGCUUUACACAUGCAAGUCGAACGGCAGCGCAAAGAGAGCUUGCUCUCUUUGGCGGCGAGUGGCGAACGGGUGAGUAAUGUAUCGGAACGUGCCCAGUAGCGGGGGAUAACCACUCGAAAGAGUGGCUAAUACCGCAUACGCCCUACGGGGGAAAGGGGGGGAUCGCAAGACCUCUCACUAUUGGAGCGGCCGAUAUCGGAUUAGCUAGUUGGUGGGGUAACGGCCUACCAAGGCUGCGAUCCGUAGCUGGUUUGAGAGGACGACCAGCCACACUGGGACUGAGACACGGCCCAGACUCCUACGGGAGGCAGCAGUGGGGAAUUUUGGACAAUGGGGGCAACCCUGAUCCAGCCAUCCCGCGUGUGCGAUGAAGCCUUCGGGUUGUAAAGCACUUUUGGCAGGGAAGAAAAGCGCUGGUUAAUACCUGGCGCUGCUGACGGUACCUGCAGAAUAAGCACCGGCUAACUACGUGCCAGCAGCGCGGUAAUACGUAAGGUGCAAGCGUUAAUCGGAUUACUGGGCGUAAAGCGUGCGCAGGCGGUUCGCA